GGACCGCCCUAUGUCAACAAGGAGAUAGACACGUUCCCUGCUUGGAGCCACCAGGACAAUAGAGGCUGAUCCGCAAUUUGUGCAUGACACUAGCCCAGUCUCUGGCACAGAGGAGAUCCCCAACCAUCUCUUUCAUCAGUUACCAGAUGAAUGAAUUGAUGACUAAAAAGAAGAAAGCCUCACAGGCGACUGAGAAGGAGCAAUAAGAAAGAUGACCAUGAAUUAGAAGAGAGUGAUUUCUUAGAAGAUGAGGGACCGGAGUUCAAAAAUGAAGAUGAGGAAGCUGAGACACAAAACUAGUAAGCAGUUGGCUCCAGGGAGCCCAGACCACCACCGCAACAGCCGCCCCCCCUCCCGGUUGCUGGGGAAAAACGACAACAACAACAACAACAACUGGAUUCCAUUUCCCACUAUUUUACUCACUACUUCAUA
Zalophus californianus (California sea lion) is the source of this 432-nucleotide long non-coding RNA. RefSeq lists it as uncharacterized. The record is from RefSeq and is a predicted model, not a curated record. NCBI's taxonomy places the organism in Eukaryota, Metazoa, Chordata, Mammalia, Carnivora, Otariidae. The transcript is spliced from 3 exons.